AGGUGGGUGGCGUAAGUUUAGCGUGUGCGAUUUCGGCUCGUAAGGAGUAAGAGUUUACCUCACAUU
This 66-nucleotide transfer RNA is filed under the name Meretrix lamarckii (Korean hard clam). RNAcentral describes it as "tRNA-Arg". The record is from RNAcentral. Lineage: Eukaryota; Metazoa; Mollusca; Bivalvia; Venerida; Veneridae.